UGUUGUCGUCGUUCCUGUUCUGGUUGUUUCGGCGUGACAUUGGUGGCUCGGACUGUUCUGACUGUGUGUUUGUGUCUUGCUGGUAACGUCUGGACAUGUUUCUCUGUUUGUACGCCUUGGAAGAUACGACCAGAAGCCGUUGGGUUUCGUGAAUGGAAGACGCUUUUGACAGAUUUGUUUCUGUGCACAAGACAAAUGGGCUGUCGCACCCCCGACGUAGGAAAUGAACACACACGUCGCUGAGAUCUUAAAAGACAAAGAAACCAGUGCCAUCACCUAUGCUGCUGCCACAUCUAGCAGAAGGAUUUCACUGGAUACUGCUAGCACCUCCACUCCUGUGACCCCUAACAGAGGGAUUAUAUUGGUAAGAACUAUCAGGAGGGGUACUGUUUCAUCUCAGACCACAGAGGGAAUG
Long non-coding RNA from Ornithodoros turicata, 415 nucleotides. RefSeq lists it as uncharacterized. The record is from RefSeq and is a predicted model, not a curated record. The transcript has 4 exons. NCBI's taxonomy places the organism in Eukaryota, Metazoa, Arthropoda, Arachnida, Ixodida, Argasidae.